UGGCGGGUAGCUCAGAUGGUUAGAGCAUCGGACUGAUAAUCCGAAGGUCGAGAGUUCAAAUCUCUCCCUGCCAAC
This 75-nucleotide transfer RNA is filed under the name Streptomyces phage Satis. RNAcentral describes it as "tRNA-Ile". It matches the Rfam family "tRNA". From Rfam's summary of the family: Transfer RNA (tRNA) molecules are approximately 80 nucleotides in length. Their secondary structure includes four short double-helical elements and three loops (D, anti-codon, and T loops). Further hydrogen bonds mediate the characteristic L-shaped molecular structure. tRNAs have two regions of fundamental functional importance: the anti-codon, which is responsible for specific mRNA codon recognition, and the 3' end, to which the tRNAs corresponding amino acid is attached (by aminoacyl-tRNA synthetases). tRNAs cope with the degeneracy of the genetic code in two manners: having more than one tRNA (with a specific anti-codon) for a particular amino acid; and 'wobble' base-pairing, i.e. permitting non-standard base-pairing at the 3rd anti-codon position. The record is from RNAcentral. Lineage: Duplodnaviria; Heunggongvirae; Uroviricota; Caudoviricetes. RNAcentral also lists the same sequence under 4 other names.